Molecule: ribosomal RNA, 2419 nt
Filed under: Triticum aestivum (bread wheat)
Lineage: Eukaryota; Viridiplantae; Streptophyta; Magnoliopsida; Poales; Poaceae
Description: partial small subunit ribosomal RNA
Source: RNAcentral
GGAUCUCGGGUUUUUAAGAGCAUGGUUAUUAAAGAAAUGAAAUAACAUAAGCGGCCAGAAAGGGUAUUUAUUAUGGUUUUUCCUGUGCCCGGCACCUGGUUUGAGAAAAGGGGAUUUAAAGGGGAGAAAGGGGAGGGGUGGGGAGCUAGACUAGAGCUUAGCAGAUGGAGAGGAGGGGCUUAGGAGUUAAGCUGUGGUCUAGGCCAGGAGGGAGCGGCUCCGGAGAGAUAGCCAUGGCUAAAGCGGGGCAUAGCAACUAAGACACACAAGGGCUCUAAUCCCAAAGCUCCGCGACUUUAGCCCAUGGCUAACCGAGCUAACUCCGCCCUAAAGAGGUCCCCUCCGACCAGACACCAACUAACCACCGAGACUCUAGGAUAAUGACGCCAAGAAAAGUAGCUUAAACGCGCUAAACAAACGAUCCCAAAGCAGCAAAGGGAGGGCAGGUUGGGAGGCAGCUGGGGAGUAGCGGUCUCGUAAUACAACGUAGUUCUUUUAUCACUCCAAAUACACUCCGUGGUGACGCUCGUCGAACGUACACCGUUAGACUCCCCUUGGCUACUACCCGCGAGUUUGAAGGAAGGACUCUUUAUGGUAUAACGUUGUCUUACCUCAUGGUGUCGAACAGAUCAAUUAUGACGGUCACGACAAUUUCUUCACUGUCAGCUAGUAAUAUUCUCUGGACGGAGAUCACCAAAGGGUCUGUACAACCUGACGUUUGCCUACUUCGUCCUUCUCGUUUGACAUAGACUCUUUAUAUUACGUCGUCUACGACUGUAUUUACAAGGUCUCAUACCUAGUAUGUCCUGUACCCUCUCUUAGAGGCUAGGCGGUCGUAUACCAUUACUCCUUUCACUCCUACUUCCACAUCUAGGUGGGCAAUUAAAAAGUGAUCGGGUUUGAAUACAACUUCUAAUGGACGCUAGACGUUCAAUAAUAGUUUCCCUUCUGUAAAUGAGCAGACAAUCGGAAACGGGAUGUUCCUUUUGACAAGGUUAACCCGGUUUAAUAGUCCGACUCAACGGUCUCACACGUAGACCAUUAACAUCCUCGAGUCAACUACCAUUACGACUACACAGUAGUAGAAGAGUGUAUGCACUAUAUUUCCUUCGGCUCUCACUGUUCACCUAAUCCUUGAGACAGUAAGGUUACGGACCAAGACAACUCAAUAGAAGUCACGACUUUGGACAAACGACAUUCUGCCUAACGUCAACACAACUACUUCCAAGCUAACGCACGCACUCCUUCGUACACUUCCUUCGUUCUCUUUCUGAUUACUCACGGGAACCAGACUUGUGGAAGUUUCUCAAUCCUAAGAAACUGUACCCUCUCCUCCACCGGAACUUUACCUGACUUCUACUUCUCGUAAACAAGGUCCUACACCAUAGUAAUUUGGGACGGAGAGAACCUUCCUUGAAGACCCUGCUUGAAGGCGAACGGAAGGGUAACUUCUGAUUGUUUCUCAAUCACUCGAUGAUAAAGUUACAGAAGUACAACUCCUUCUCCCGACUCGUCUUAUCCAAACUAGGUUACUUACAACUGUCACUAUUACUACUUACCCUCCCUUCUCUACUACUACUUAAACGACACUGUCUUUCCCGACCACUCCUAAACGACGAGCUCAGAGAAUGACUAGUUCUACUACCACGUACGUUAGUUCAAGGGGAGGUUCCUUUAUACGUACUUCUCAGACCACUCCUCCUACUCAAACUGACAAGAUCACCACUGUCCGUUCUUUUAACGACACACCUCCCCUUACAGUACCACAGGGAACACCUGUUAUUGGUCCUCCGUUGGUAAAAACUGUGUCUACGAGUUCUGCUGAGCACGUGUAGUAAACUCCGAGGCGUACAAACAUGGUGCCUACCGUGUGGGUGACUAUAACGACCUCUGGUGAUGGCCCUACAACCGAAACCAUCGCAACGUCUAGUACCUAUGAAACCACCGGUGACGCUGGGCUUUUGUACCCUAUAACCAAAGUCAUCGCACACCCUCUUUCUGCUUAAAGAAAGCUGUUUGUUACACUAUCUUCUCCACAAACCUUUCCCAAGAACACUUUUACCUUUACUGAGAAGAUGACGGGUCCCGUAGUACAUUUCUACUAGGCCCAAAGACUACCUCUCGCUUCCGGCUUGGACGAAAACUUUAAACAUGUCACCAUCGAGAAGGAAAAAAACUACUACUAAGUGAACGGACAUCUUUAGGGCGGAGACAGACAGGGCUCUUGUAGACAAACUCUUUACAUUAAAGUAAGAGUACUACUUACAGACAGAUAAACAUCAAUAGGUAGUAGUCAGCUACUAGAGGACAUCGGACAACAUCGGAGAUACAUGACAACAGUACUGUUCAAAGUUCCGGACUCGUAAAAACGUAUACGAUCGCUGCCAGUUAUACUAUAUCUACAACGAGAUUAUACGAA